RNAcentral lists this ribosomal RNA (468 nucleotides) under uncultured bacterium. Its description in RNAcentral is "partial 16S ribosomal RNA". It matches the Rfam family "Bacterial small subunit ribosomal RNA", at positions 28 to 507 of the family's 1533-position model. The record is from RNAcentral.
GACGAACGCUGGCGGCGUGCUUAACACAUGCAAGUCGAACGGAAAGGCCCUGCUUUUGUGGGGUGCUCGAGUGGCGAACGGGUGAGUAACACGUGAGUAACCUGCCCUUGACUUUGGGAUAACUUCAGGAAACUGGGGCUAAUACCGGAUAGGAGCUCCUGCUGCAUGGUGGGGGUUGGAAAGUUUCGGCGGUUGUGGAUGGACUCGCGGCUUAUCAGCUUGUUGGUGGGGUAGUGGCUUACCAAGGCUUUGACGGGUAGCCGGCCUGAGAGGGUGACCGGCCACAUUGGGACUGAGAGACGGCCCAGACGCCUACGGGAGGCAGCAGUGGGGAAUAUUGCACAAUGGGCGGAAGCCUGAUGCAGCAACGCCGCGUGCGGGAUGACGGCCUUCGGGUUGUAAACCGCUUUCGCCUGUGACGAAGCGUGAGUGACGGUAAUGGGUAAAGAAGCACCGGCUAACUACGUG